This 880-nucleotide ribosomal RNA is filed under the name Staphylococcus aureus T39328. Its description in RNAcentral is "bacterial SSU rRNA". It matches the Rfam family "Bacterial small subunit ribosomal RNA", at positions 8 to 869 of the family's 1533-position model. Lineage: Bacteria; Bacillati; Bacillota; Bacilli; Caryophanales; Staphylococcaceae. The record is from RNAcentral.
AGAGUUUGAUCCUGGCUCAGGAUGAACGCUGGCGGCGUGCCUAAUACAUGCAAGUCGAGCGAACGGACGAGAAGCUUGCUUCUCUGAUGUUAGCGGCGGACGGGUGAGUAACACGUGGAUAACCUACCUAUAAGACUGGGAUAACUUCGGGAAACCGUAGCUAAUACCGGAUAAUAUUUUGAACCGCAUGGUUCAAAAGUGAAAGACGGUCUUGCUGUCACUUAUAGAUGGAUCCGCGCUGCAUUAGCUAGUUGGUAAGGUAACGGCUUACCAAGGCAACGAUGCAUAGCCGACCUGAGAGGGUGAUCGGCCACACUGGAACUGAGACACGGUCCAGACUCCUACGGGAGGCAGCAGUAGGGAAUCUUCCGCAAUGGGCGAAAGCCUGACGGAGCAACGCCGCGUGAGUGAUGAAGGUCUUCGGAUCGUAAAACUCUGUUAUUAGGGAAGAACAUAUGUGUAAGUAACUGUGCACAUCUUGACGGUACCUAAUCAGAAAGCCACGGCUAACUACGUGCCAGCAGCCGCGGUAAUACGUAGGUGGCAAGCGUUAUCCGGAAUUAUUGGGCGUAAAGCGCGCGUAGGCGGUUUUUUAAGUCUGAUGUGAAAGCCCACGGCUCAACCGUGGAGGGUCAUUGGAAACUGGAAAACUUGAGUGCAGAAGAGGAAAGUGGAAUUCCAUGUGUAGCGGUGAAAUGCGCAGAGAUAUGGAGGAACACCAGUGGCGAAGGCGACUUUCUGGUCUGUAACUGACGCUGAUGUGCGAAAGCGUGGGGAUCAAACAGGAUUAGAUACCCUGGUAGUCCACGCCGUAAACGAUGAGUGCUAAGUGUUAGGGGGUUUCCGCCCCUUAGUGCUGCAGCUAACGCAUUAAGCACUC